CGAAAUUGAAGUUGAUGAGCCAAAUGAUGAUGGUGGGCAAUCCAACGUCUCUUCUCACCUCCCCUAAUGCGUCUACCGCCAAUUUCAUCUGUUUUUGCAUUCAAAUGCCAAAUAAAACUCAAAAAACUAUGCCACAUUUCUCGUAUUUCUCAAGCUCAUCUUCAACUGCUUCGUCACGCCUUCUUCCCUUCAAAAACAGCUGUUUCCUCUCUUCUCCACAACUAUCUCAACG
Molecule: unclassified non-coding RNA, 232 nt
Filed under: Hevea brasiliensis (rubber tree)
Lineage: Eukaryota; Viridiplantae; Streptophyta; Magnoliopsida; Malpighiales; Euphorbiaceae
Source: RNAcentral